CAAACUAGAGUACAGGAGAGGUAAGCGGAAUUCCUAGUGUAGCGGUGAAAUGCGUAGAUAUUAGGAAGAACACCAGUGGCGAAGGCGGCUUACUGGACUGAAACUGACGCUGAGKCACGAAAGCGUGGGGAGCRAACAGGAUUAGAUACCCUGGUAGUCCACGCUGUAAACGAUGANUGCUAGGUGUCGGGGGGAGACUCUCGGUGCCGCAGCUAACGCAAUAAGCACUCCACCUGGGGAGUACGGUCGCAA
RNAcentral lists this ribosomal RNA (252 nucleotides) under uncultured Eubacterium sp. RNAcentral's name for it is "partial 16S ribosomal RNA". It matches the Rfam family "Bacterial small subunit ribosomal RNA", at positions 637 to 891 of the family's 1533-position model. The record is from RNAcentral. Lineage: Bacteria; Bacillati; Bacillota; Clostridia; Eubacteriales; Eubacteriaceae.